AUUGAACGCUGGCGGCAUGCCUUACACAUGCAAGUCGAACGGCAGCACGGGAGCAAUCCUGGUGGCGAGUGGCGAACGGGUGAGUAAUAUAUCGGAACGUGCCCAGUCGUGGGGAUAACGUAGCGAAAGCUACGCUAAUACCGCAUACGAUCUAUGGAUGAAAGCGGGGGGAUCGCAAGACCUCGCGCGAUUGGAGCGGCCGAUAUCAGAUUAGGUAGUUGGUGAGGUAAAGGCUCACCAAGCCGACGAUCUGUAGCUGGUCUGAGAGGACGACCAGCCACACUGGGACUGAGACACGGCCCAGACUCCUACGGGAGGCAGCAGUGGGGAAUUUUGGACAAUGGGCGCAAGCCUGAUCCAGCAAUGCCGCGUGCAGGAUGAAGGCCUU
Molecule: ribosomal RNA, 388 nt
Filed under: uncultured bacterium
Lineage: Bacteria
Description: bacterial SSU rRNA
Rfam family: Bacterial small subunit ribosomal RNA
Source: RNAcentral